CGACCUUGUAUAUUUUCGAAUUGAAAUAGCUGUUAGCCUGAAAAAUUGGAAGCAAAUCGGUGCGUGACAAUUUUGGAAUAUGGAGCCCCCAUUAAGGGGAGUGAGUUUUGUGGGGUCCAGCCCCAUAUGUAACUCCUUUUUGUCAAGCCAGCCAAAUUAACAAAAAGAUUUGGGCGACUGACUAAAGGAUUUGGGCGGCUGACUUUUGCAGUAGAAAUGAUGUCACUGCAUACAUCUACAUGGAGUUUCUGCAACUAUAAAUGGGUAUCUCUACCUUCAUUGUAAGACACACCAACAAAGAGAGAAAGAAAGAGUGAGGUUUCACANNNNNNNNNNNNNNNNNNNNNNNNNNNNNNNNNNNNNNNNNNNNNNNNNNNNNAAAGAGUGAGGUUUCACAGAUAAGGUAUAAGAAAAUAGUCUGUGAGAAAAAUAGAGAGUGAGCGAUAUUGUAGUAAGGUGGGAAUAUCAAAAGAUGGCUAUUUCUUUUGAGUGUUGUAGUGAUCUUUGGAGUAUAUUACUCAUAACUACAAAGUGUAAAAUUCCUUACUAUAGUGAUAUCAGUUGCUUCUCUCGAGGCCGUAGUUUUUUCCCUUAUUCAGAAGGGUUUUCCACGUAAAAAUUUUGGUGUCAUUGUUACUCUUUUAUUCUUGUUAAUUACCAUAUUUUGGUGCUACAUUAUUAUUCCGCUGUUAUUACCGUGAAUAUUAUUUUGGUAGGGGGUUUAUUCCCAACAAGUUUAACAUAAGAGUGUCAAAUAUGCGACAUAAAUAGAAUUUGGCGGAUCAAAAUGGAAGAAUCAAUAUAUUUGAGGGCUAAUGAUCCCCCUCCCCCUCCCCCGCCCCUCCUUCUUCAAGUAUUACUUGGGCUAAUAAGGGCUUGAUAAAGAUAUGCUAAACAGUGAAGUGAUAAAGCAUAGCUCAAUUCAAAAAAUUUGACCAAGGUUUAAUUUCUUUCUGAUGUUAUUAGAUGCCAUAAAAAGUGUAGCUGUGUAGAGAAUUAACUUUAUCUAAAUCUUUCAUUCAUUUCUUUAAAUUGACGAUAUUUAAAAAAGGAAAAUGAAGAAUAAUCAUUCUUACACUAUAUUAUUCCUCGUACAGUUUUGUUUUGCUUUCGCAUAGACUCAUAUAGUGUUGAAGAACUUAAGUUGGCGAUGGUGACCGAUGAAACACAAGGAAAGAUUUAGUGGUGGGUCUGCACAUCUAAUUACCACCUAAACUAAUACCCUGAUUAGGGGUGCACAUAGGCCGGGUUGGUUCGAAUUUUACAAUUAUCAAAUCAAACCAAUUGUAUCGGGUUAUUAAAUUUAAAUACCAACCAAACCAAUAAACUCGGGUUUUUCGCUCUCGGAUUUUUUCGGGUUUCGGAUUAUUCGGGUUUUUUCUAAACUUUUUUCAAUAAAAUCUUCAUAGAACAAAAUAUAUAAAUUAUGCUCAAAAUAUUUCUCUAAUCCUAGUAAGAUACAAUUAUAUAAAAUAUUUUCCAAGAAAAUAAUACAAAAUAUGAGAUGUGUCAUGGCAUUAUCCUAAAAUAUUCAAUAACGAAGAUAAUAAAAUUGUGUUAUAUCAAUAUUGCUAAAUAAAAAGCCAUAAUAAAAUAAAUAUAAUCUAAAAAUACUAAGUCAUGCUAAAUAAGUAGACUAAUAAGGGAAUAUUAAAUACAUGACUAAACGCUAAAGAAAAAAUAAAAAUAGGUUGUGCAUUUAUCUAUAUUACUGCAAAAAAAUAGAUAUUCAAUACAUUCUCGUUAUAGUAUUGAAUUGAAUGUCUUUUGUUAGCAUUAAUAUUGAUUUGAUUUUGAUUUUAAUUUGGCUUUUGUUCGAUUUAUUUAAUUUACUAAUAUUAAUGGC
RNAcentral lists this long non-coding RNA (1846 nucleotides) under Nicotiana benthamiana. RNAcentral's name for it is "long non-coding RNA (NBEN_LNC013923)". The record is from RNAcentral. Lineage: Eukaryota; Viridiplantae; Streptophyta; Magnoliopsida; Solanales; Solanaceae.